GUGCGUAACGCGUAUACAAUCUGCCUUUUAUCCGGGGGAUAGCCCGAAGAAAUUUGGAUUAAUACCCUAUGGUAUAAGAGCACGGCAUCGUGCACUUAUUAAAGCUACGGCGGUAAAAGAUGAGUAUGCGUUCUAUUAGCUAGUUGGAGAGGUAACGGCUCCCCAAGGCGACGAUAGAUAGGGGUUCUGAGAGGGAUGUCCCCCACACUGGUACUGAGAUACGGACCAGACUCCUACGGGAGGCAGCAGUGAGGAAUAUUGGACAAUGGUCGGAAGACUGAUCCAGCCAUGCCGCGUGCAGGAUGACGGCCUUAUGGGUUGUAAACUGCU
Molecule: ribosomal RNA, 330 nt
Filed under: Capnocytophaga genosp. AHN8471
Lineage: Bacteria; Pseudomonadati; Bacteroidota; Flavobacteriia; Flavobacteriales; Flavobacteriaceae
Description: bacterial SSU rRNA
Rfam family: Bacterial small subunit ribosomal RNA
Source: RNAcentral